UGCAGAGCAAGCUUGCUUGCUUUGCUGACGAGUGGCGGACGGGUGAGUAAUGUCUGGGAAACUGCCUGAUGGAGGGGGAUAACUACUGGAAACGGUAGCUAAUACCGCAUAACGUCGCAAGACCAAAGAGGGGGACCUUCGGGCCUCUUGCCAUCGGAUGUGCCCAGAUGGGAUUAGCUAGUAGGUGGGGUAACGGCUCACCUAGGCGACGAUCCCUAGCUGGUCUGAGAGGAUGACCAGCCACACUGGAACUGAGACACGGUCCAGACUCCUACGGGAGGGAGCAGUGGGGAA
Molecule: ribosomal RNA, 294 nt
Filed under: uncultured bacterium
Lineage: Bacteria
Description: partial 16S ribosomal RNA
Rfam family: Bacterial small subunit ribosomal RNA
Source: RNAcentral